CAUUUGACUAAUCUUGCAUGAUAUUUUCAUACUCCACGCCCAUUUGUUCUAAGGAAAAACUCGUUUUCCUGAGCCAACAGGGACACUCAAAAGAGGGGAUCUGGACAGCAAACCCCCCUCAGAAGUGAAUCUAAGCAGAGGAGGCCCUUGGCAUCCAUGUGCCCUGAAGAUGCCCUGAGCCGUACUUCAUGUGGACUCGAGGUGCCCAUGGGGACCAGAAGAGAGUGAUCAGUCUUCUGGAGCUGGAGGUACAGCGAUCAUUGAAAGAAUGGUUCCCAUGUAUGGUACCCAAUAAAGCAUUGGACACACAGAAAGAAGUCAAGGAUGAAUGUAUCCUUUAGGAGUCUGAUAUUAUUCUCCAGAGAACUUGGACUCCAAACUUUUAGGUAAAGUCUCCAAGGAAACUCUUGGGCUCUCUGAUUUCUGGUCACAGUGUUCUGUAAAACAUAAAAGCAUUUAUGAUACAAAGUAAAUUAUAUCAACUGGGAUACCACUGUUCAUCAGCCAAAGUAGUAAAAUUCAAAAUCAAAAUUAUGAACAUAAGACACACAGAAGUUAACACUUUCAUUUGUCUUUUGAGAUACAGUAUUUAUUAAAAUGUCUAAAGGAAUUUUUAGUUGAACUGCCUUCCUUUAAUUUCUCACUUAGGCACAUUAACAUAAAUGCAUAAACACCCAAGCAUCACAGUGUAGGAAGAGUGGAGAAAGAAAUGUUUUUUGUGUGACAUUUUUAUAAUAAAGGUCUAAAGACACCACACAAUGAGAUUAAUUAAAUAAAUUUUAGAUUGUACAGAUGGAAUAACUCUGUGCAACUAAAGGAAGAGUGAAGUAGGUUUCUUUUAAUUUUAGUAUGACCAAAGUAUCAUUGAGAAUGAUUUCAAUAACCAUAGAAUAGUUUGUAGACUCUAAUACCAAUAAGGUGGAUUUAUUUUAAGAUUUGUAUAUUUUACAUGUGUGGGUAGUUUUGCUUGCACAUGCAUCUAUGUACCACAUCUGUACAGUGUCUAAGGAAGCUAGAAUAGAAUGCCCAAACCUUUGUAACUGGAAUUGCAGACAGUAGUUAGCUGUCAUGUAGGUUCUGGGAAUCGAACCCUGUUCCUUUUGCAAGGCUAACAAGUGUUCUUACCCACUGAGAGGUCUCUCUAGCCCCUGGCAAUAGAUGUUUAGGAAUAAUAACCAAAUAUAACUGACUUGUAAACACAUCUGUUGCUAUUCCUGGGUCCAGUAUAACCAUCAAAAAUUUGUGGAAGAGCAUGAAGCAGGGUCAUCUGAAAUCUUCAUAAUCAAGAGAACUGGACCUCACCUCUCUCCCUUCAACUAGGAACAAGUGUUCAUUCAACUUGCAACAGUUUUAUUCUAGGUACACAAGGGCAGAGGCAGUCUUUUUAUUCCUAAAAGGAAAAUUUGGCCCAACAACUGUCACCAUGAAGAAGAUUCUUCCACUAAAACCUCUUUUCUUGGACCUUGUGGAAACCACUUAAAAUGGAUUGUUUUUUUGUUUGUUUGUUUUAGUUUUGUUUGUUUGCUUGCUUGCUUUUAAGUUCUCAAAAGCCUUUAUGAAAAAAAAAUAGGAACCACCUAUCUGACAUAAUGAUUCCCUCUUUCUUCUUCCCACCUCCUGACAUCUCCAAAGUCCAUAAACACUGAGAUCUUGGCUGUGGUUCAAUAAUACAUGACUCUUGCAGUUCAUGGGUUGCCUCUCAGAGGGCAGCUCUCAAUCAUGCGGGCUUCCAGUGUGCCCUCAUCAUCAUACUCAAGAUCCCAGAAUGAUGUAACAGCUUCGUCCGUGAUAACUUUGGGCUUUUGUCAGAAAAACAAACAAACAGAACAAAGUUAGGCAUAGCCCAUACAGCUCUAUUACCUCCACUCAAGAGAGGUAGAUAUCACUGCUGUUCAGAUUUCAUUGGCCAGAGCAAAUGCCAUGACUACGCUGGAGUGGAAGAGGAGGACUGGUGAGUUGUUAAAACAACAAUACAGAGAAUGAAAUGAAGAGUCAUGGUUAUCCGCACCAAGUGCACAAUUAAGGUCUAACUUGUGGUGGGCCUAGGAGAAUGCACAAAACAGCCAGCAAAGGGCCUAGGCUCAUUCUCCUUAUCGGUCCUCUGUGCUGAAUGCCCUUAUGGAAACUUCUUCUGGGAUAUUGGAAAAGAGUGAACACUAUUCUAAAUAAGCAAUGCAAUUAAAAUCAAGAGCCCAAAAAAAAAACAAAACAAAACAAAACUGUGUUUGCAAUCUCGUUUUACUCUCCGGACUAAUGCUGUCCAAAAGUUCAGUAGCCAUAUUGGAACACAGAACAAAGAAAUGGGUGCAUUAAUCUUAAUAGGUUUUGUUUAGCUUGAUGCAUCCAAGAUGGUAUUUUACCAAGUGAUCAAUAUGAAAUUGUUGUUGAAAUGUAUUAAAAUUCUUGCCAAGUCCUAGAAAUCUGACUUCCAUCUUAUCCUUACAACAACCUAAAUUCAGAUGCUAAAUUUUCCUCAGAAAUAAUUGAUCUGUAUUUAGAUUUACAGCUUAAAAAGUAGGUUAACACAUCCAAACUGCACUAACUGCACACACGAUUUUCCAGGAAAUGAAUCAACUAUCCAUUUUUAAAUUUGAAUUAACGUAGAUAAAAUACAGUUGAAGAUUCAUUUUUCAUUUACUCUCAUCACAUUCCCAGGUCUCAAUCGCCACGGUCAUGAGCGCCUGCCAUGUGGCUCUACCAGAUUGCACAGUGCAGGCUUAGACCUUGGGGAUUUCAGUCUCCACCCUGAAAAUCAUCUUUUCAAUGUAGAUCACAAAAUGAUCGAGUCAGUUGAUCUCUUUGUUAUUCAGAGGUUUUGUUGUUGCUGCUGCUGUUUUGUUUUGUUUUUAUAGGUGCAAAGCCAGAGCUACAGAGUGUGCAACAAUCUCCUUUUCACACUAUGGACCGGUUUGUUUCUGAGUUGGUUUCUAUAACAAUGUGCCUUAGAGAUCUCUGUGUCUGUCCCAAAAACUAGAAAGGCAUUCUUCUCUGCCAAAGGAUCCUGUGCCAACAAGAAAAAGAUGGAAAUGGAACAACGGAUACAGAAGGGCAAUCAGGGAUGAAUAGCCCUCCAUUCCUCUAACACAGGAGUAGAGGGAGAUGAGCUUCAACAGAGGUCUUGAAGCAAGCCCACGAGUGAGCAUUUCUGACUGACUAUGCUCCAGCUUGCCAGCAAAUAUGGGACACAGCAAGGAACAUGAAAGAAAGCAGUCUAAAACCACAGCGAAAGCACUGGCUACCGUUUCCUCUGCCCUUUGCUGAUCCUCUCUGCAUCUAACCAGCCCUGGCGAUUCCCUUGUGGCCCCACAAUUGUAAGAGCUUUUCAUCACUCCCCCAAAGUCAGAGCCCUACUGUGUGUGAUUUGCUUCUGCAACACCCCUGCAACAGUCACAUUGGAAGUUGCCAUCUGCACAGGAGAAGUGUCUGACUACCUCAUGGAGCCUCAUGCAGGAUCUCACAUGCACACGCAAGUCAGUUCAGAUGCAUGGAGUACCAGCACUUGGCACACCUUGGUUUUCCCCUGAGUCUCAGACUCCCUCAGAGGAUUUGCUGAAGCUAAAGCCUGUGGAACAAUUGUUAUGACUUUUCUCAUCACCAACAGAAGAGGACCUCACACAAACCACAAUGGCAGUACUGGUCAAACAAACGUUCUUAGCUACGUAUUGUUGGGUAUACACCAAGUGCUAUGUGGAUAAAAAGAUUGUCAUCCCACAGCAUUAUCAAGUUUUAAGCCAAAACCCCAAGCCCAGCUUGGAUACUUCCCUCAGAAUCCUGUGGGUGAGUGGUCCUGUGAGUGAAAGCAAUCAAAGUCAUGUGGUCACCCAUGGAAGAAGAGAGAUCUUCGAGAAGCCAAUGAGAACCUUGUGGUGGGACAAAGAAAGGAAUGAAGGCAACAGUGAUGUCUGCAUGGGGCGGGCACGACCCUCAGUCACAAGUGGUCUGGAGGUUUGUUAUCUCAGAAUGUGGAUGGUCAGGAAGGCUUUAACCCAGACUGAAAACAAACAAGUAGCUCCUGCCUUGGGGACUGGCUACUCUUGUGACAAGAUGCUUUUGGAACAGACUGUCAUUCCCUGGAUCCAAGAUGAAUGGCUAAAGGAAGGGAGAACUCAAAGUUUCAAGCCAGAUGGGGGUCCCAGAGGCAUGCCAGCACUUAGAGGGGGACGUGGACAUGGGUUCCCACCCUGGAACCAAGGAGCUUAUGUAUAAUUGAUACCCCCUGGUAUGGAAAACCUUAGAAUUUUCCAACAGAGUCUCACUAGGUAUAUUAACUACAUCUCAGGGCAGGGUGCAUGUCUGGGUGUAGUUGGCCAAUACAAAAUGAACUCAUUAUUUUUGUAGACUCUUGGUCUCAUUUUGACUCUUUUGAACAUUUUUUUCUCUUACUGGUCAUUUGCUUUGCGUUUGGCUUCUGUUUUUAUUGUCUUAUUUUGUGUGUGUGUGUUUUGAAUUUUUGUGUGGUUUUGUUUUUGUUUGUUUUUUAAAGGGAUAGAGGGGGAAAGAACAUAAAGUUGGCCAGGUGGGGAAGA
Mesocricetus auratus (golden hamster) is the source of this 4526-nucleotide long non-coding RNA. RefSeq lists it as uncharacterized. NCBI's taxonomy places the organism in Eukaryota, Metazoa, Chordata, Mammalia, Rodentia, Cricetidae. The record is from RefSeq and is a predicted model, not a curated record. The transcript is spliced from 7 exons.